RNAcentral lists this ribosomal RNA (1372 nucleotides) under uncultured bacterium. Its description in RNAcentral is "bacterial SSU rRNA". It matches the Rfam family "Bacterial small subunit ribosomal RNA", at positions 28 to 1381 of the family's 1533-position model. The record is from RNAcentral.
GAUGAACGCUGGCGGCGUGCCUAAUACAUGCAAGUCGAGCGAACAGACGAGGAGCUUGCUCCUUUGACGUUAGCGGCGGACGGGUGAGUAACACGUGGGUAACCUACCUAUAAGACUGGGAUAACUUCGGGAAACCGGAGCUAAUACCGGAUAAUAUUUCGAACCGCAUGGUUCGAUAGUGAAAGAUGGCUUUGCUAUCACUUAUAGAUGGACCUGCGCCGUAUUAGCUAGUUGGUAAGGUAACGGCUUACCAAGGCAACGAUACGUAGCCGACCUGAGAGGGUGAUCGGCCACACUGGAACUGAGACACGGUCCAGACUCCUACGGGAGGCAGCAGUAGGGAAUCUUCCGCAAUGGGCGAAAGCCUGACGGAGCAACGCCGCGUGAGUGAUGAAGGUCUUCGGAUCGUAAAACUCUGUUAUUAGGGAAGAACAAACGUGUAAGUAACUGUGCACGUCUUGACGGUACCUAAUCAGAAAGCCACGGCUAACUACGUGCCAGCAGCCGCGGUAAUACGUAGGUGGCAAGCGUUAUCCGGAAUUAUUGGGCGUAAAGCGCGCGUAGGCGGUUUUUUAAGUCUGAUGUGAAAGCCCACGGCUCAACCGUGGAGGGUCAUUGGAAACUGGAAAACUUGAGUGCAGAAGAGGAAAGUGGAAUUCCAUGUGUAGCGGUGAAAUGCGCAGAGAUAUGGAGGAACACCAGUGGCGAAGGCGACUUUCUGGUCUGUAACUGACGCUGAUGUGCGAAAGCGUGGGGAUCAGACAGGAUUAGAUACCCUGGUAGUCCACGCCGUAAACGAUGAGUGCUAAGUGUUAGGGGGUUUCCGCCCCUUAGUGCUGCAGCUAACGCAUUAAGCACUCCGCCUGGGGAGUACGACCGCAAGGUUGAAACUCAAAGGAAUUGACGGGGACCCGCACAAGCGGUGGAGCAUGUGGUUUAAUUCGAAGCAACGCGAAGAACCUUACCAAAUCUUGACACCCUUUGACCCUUCUAGAGAUAGAAGUUUCCCCUUCGGGGGACAAAGUGACAGGUGGUGCAUGGUUGUCGUCAGCUCGUGUCGUGAGACGUUGGGUUAGGUCCCGCAACGAGCGCAACCCUUAAGCUUAGUUGCCAUCAUUAAGUUGGGCACUCUAAGUUAACUGCCGGUGACAAACCGGAGGAAGGUGGGGAUGACGUCAAAUCAUCAUGCCCCUUAUGAUUUGGGCUACACACGUGCUACAAUGGACAAUACAAAGGGCAGCGAAACCGCGAGGUCAAGCAAAUCCCAUAAAGUUGUUCUCAGUUCGGAUUGUAGUCUGCAACUCGACUACAUGAAGCUGGAAUCGCUAGUAAUCGUAGAUCAGCAUGCUACGGUGAAUACGUUCCCGGGUCU